RNAcentral lists this ribosomal RNA (360 nucleotides) under uncultured bacterium. Its description in RNAcentral is "bacterial SSU rRNA". It matches the Rfam family "Bacterial small subunit ribosomal RNA", at positions 29 to 369 of the family's 1533-position model. The record is from RNAcentral.
AGCGAACGCUGGCGGCGUGCUUAACACAUGCAAGUCGAGGGAGAACGGCGGGCUUCGGCCUUCCUAGUAAACCGGCGCACGGGUGAGUAACACGUAGGUAACCUACCUUCGAGACUGGGAUAACCCAUCGAAAGAUGAGCUAAUACCAGAUAUGACCACGGGAGUUUCGGCUUCUGCGGUGAAAGAUGGCCUCUGCUUGCAAGCUAUCACUCAAAGAUGGGCCUGCGCGCCAUUAGCUAGUUGGUGGGGUAACGGCCACCAAGGCUACGAUGGCUAGUUGGUCUGAGAGGAUGACCAGCCACACUGGGACUGAGACACGGCCCAGACUCCUACGGGAGGCAGCAGUGGGGAAUAUUGCGC